This 587-nucleotide long non-coding RNA is filed under the name Mus musculus (house mouse). RNAcentral describes it as "RIKEN cDNA A930006K02 gene". Lineage: Eukaryota; Metazoa; Chordata; Mammalia; Rodentia; Muridae. The record is from RNAcentral.
GGAGGGUGUUGCUAGGAGGGCUGCAAUGGGCCAAGGAUUUUUUUUGGCGCGUCACUUGAAGUGACAGAAGACGUAAGAGCCAGGGAACCACUGGGCUAAUUACAUCGGGAGAAUGGCGACUGCUCUAAGGGUGAGAGACAAGAGAGAUCUCUUCAUAGUGAUGAAAACAAACAAACAAACAACAACAAUAAAACCAAAAAAGACAGCCCGGCAUCCCAGCCAGAACUCCUGGAGAUAAGUUCCGACUCCUCUCAGGGAGCCGUUUUCUUUAAGAAGGCAUAAGAAGCCAUCUUGGCUAUCAGGAUUAAAAUAAGGAUUACCAACGUGACAGUAAUCAUAAGGAAACCUUAUGUCUACUUCACUCAAUGCUUGUAACUUCGUUCCAAUAAGAGACUGAGCUAACUUGUGUUAUGGCUCCAUAAGCACUUCCACCGAGCCUGACAGAUGACAGAGAUUCCCAGAAACCACGUGGAAAAAAGAACCAACUCCAGCAAGUUGUUCCCUGGCCUCUCUGCCCAUGCACCUUGACAUAUUUGUGCACACAAGAACACAAAAUACUUGUAAUAAAACAUGUUUUAAAGAUGACA